RNAcentral lists this ribosomal RNA (548 nucleotides) under uncultured bacterium. RNAcentral describes it as "bacterial SSU rRNA". It matches the Rfam family "Bacterial small subunit ribosomal RNA", at positions 777 to 1320 of the family's 1533-position model. The record is from RNAcentral.
AAUAGAUACCCGGGUAGUCCACGCCGUAAACGAUGAGUGCUAAGUGUUGGGGGGUUUCCGCCCCUCAGUGCUGCAGCUAACGCAUUAAGCACUCCGCCUGGGGAGUACGGUCGCAAGACUGAAACUCAAAGGAAUUGACGGGGGCCCGCACAAGCGGUGGAGCAUGUGGUUUAAUUCGAAGCAACGCGAAGAACCUUACCAGGUCUUGACAUCCCGGUGACCACUAUGGAGACAUAGUUUCCCCUUCGGGGGCAACGGUGACAGGUGGUGCAUGGUUGUCGUCAGCUCGUGUCGUGAGAUGUUGGGUUAAGUCCCGCAACGAGCGCAACCCUUAUUCUUAGUUGCCAUCAUUCAGUUGGGCACUCUAAGGAGACUGCCGGUGAUAAACCGGAGGAAGGUGGGGAUGACGUCAAAUCAUCAUGCCCCUUAUGACCUGGGCUACACACGUGCUACAAUGGACGGUACAAACGGUUGCCAACCCGCGAGGGGGGAGCUAAUCCGGAUAAAAACCGUUCUCAGUUCGGAUUGUAGGCUGCAACUCGCCUACA